Molecule: non-coding RNA, 93 nt
Filed under: unclassified sequences
Description: PhotoRC-II RNA
Rfam family: PhotoRC-II RNA
Source: RNAcentral
UAACAUUGUCCACACCCGCUAACCGAGACCUAUGGGUGUAUAAAUUACGUCUCUCAUAUCCCCGCUAAGGGUGCGGGGAGCAUAGUAUCUCCA